AGCAGCCGCGGUAAUUCCAGCUCCAAUAGCGUAUAUUAAAGUUGUUGCAGUUAAAAAGCUCGUAGUUGAAUUUCGGAAUCUGUCCAUCGGUCGGGCUUUAUUGUCCGUACUGGUGUGGUGGGUUCUUACCUUCUGAAUAACCAGCAUGCCAUUUAUUUGGUGCGUUUGGGGAAGCAGGGACUAUUACCUUGAAAAAAUUUAGAAGUGCUCAAAGCAGGCUAGUGCCUGAAUACAUUAGCAUGGAAUAAUAAAAUAGGACGGCAUGGUUCUAUUUUGUUGGUUUCUAGGAUCACCGUAAUGAUUAAUAGGGAUAGUUGGGGGCAUUAGUAUUCAAUUGUCAGAGGUGAAAUUCUUGGAUUUAUUGAAGACUAACUUCUGCGAAAGCAUUUGCCAAGGAUGUUUUCAUUAAUCAAGAACGAAAGUUAGGGGAUCGAAGACGAUCAGAUACCGUCGUAGUCUUAACCAUAAACUAUGCCGACUAGGGAUCGGACGAUGUUAAUUUUUAAUGACUCGUUCGGCG
RNAcentral lists this ribosomal RNA (520 nucleotides) under uncultured Acaulospora. Its description in RNAcentral is "SSU rRNA". It matches the Rfam family "Eukaryotic small subunit ribosomal RNA", at positions 569 to 1085 of the family's 1831-position model. Lineage: Eukaryota; Fungi; Glomeromycota; Glomeromycetes; Diversisporales; Acaulosporaceae. The record is from RNAcentral.